CCAUCAUUCAGUUGGGCACUCUAGCGAGACUGCAGGUAUAACCGGAGAAGUGGGGAUGACGUCAAAUCAUCAUGCCCCUUAUGACCUGGGCUACACACGUGCUACAAUGGUUGGUACAACGAGUUGCGAGUCGGUGACGGCGAGCUAAUCUCUUAAAGCCAAUCUCAGUUCGGAUUGUAGGCUGCAACUCGCCUACAUGAAGUCGGAAUCGCUAGUAAUCGCGGAUCAGCACGCCGCGGUGAAUACGUUCCCGGGCCUU
Molecule: ribosomal RNA, 259 nt
Filed under: uncultured Streptococcus sp.
Lineage: Bacteria; Bacillati; Bacillota; Bacilli; Lactobacillales; Streptococcaceae
Description: partial 16S ribosomal RNA
Rfam family: Bacterial small subunit ribosomal RNA
Source: RNAcentral